Molecule: ribosomal RNA, 376 nt
Filed under: Pelophylax sp. 18PpC001
Lineage: Eukaryota; Metazoa; Chordata; Amphibia; Anura; Ranidae
Description: partial small subunit ribosomal RNA
Rfam family: Bacterial small subunit ribosomal RNA
Source: RNAcentral
GCCUAGCCGUAAACAAUUAACUCACACCAACCAACGCCAGGGAAUUACGAGCUAUGCUUAAAACCCAAAGGACUUGACGGUGUCCCACCCACCUAGAGGAGCCUGUUCUAUAAUCGAUGAUCCCCGAUACACCUAACCAUUCCUCGCCCAUCAGUCUGUAUACCUCCGUCGAAAGCCUACCAUGUGAACGCUUACAGUAGGCCCAAUGAUUCUCAUCAACACGUCAGGUCAAGGUGCAGCUUACGGAAUGGAAAGCAAUGGGCUACAAUUUCUAGUUUAGAACAAACGAAAGACUCUGUGAAACCUUAGUCAUGAAGGCGGAUUUAGUAGUAAAAGGAAAAUAGAGUGUUCCUUUUAACCUGGCUCUGGGACGCGU